RNAcentral lists this non-coding RNA (45 nucleotides) under Echinostoma caproni. The record is from RNAcentral. Lineage: Eukaryota; Metazoa; Platyhelminthes; Trematoda; Plagiorchiida; Echinostomatidae.
GCACUACUGACGAGUUCCGAAUAGGACGAAACAGCUGUCCAGUGC